CCAGAACUGUGAGAAAUAACUGCGUCUUGCUUAUAAGAUGCCCAGUCUAUGUUAUUCUGUUAUAAAAGCCCAAAUGGACUAAAGCAAUAGUAUAACUAAUGCUAUAGUUGUAAUUCAGGUUGACACAGAACAGUUGAAAACAAAAAUUGAGCAUAAGGGGUAUAAUGAACGAAGUGAAGCUUAUAUGAGAAAUGAAGCAUGACUCAAAAUAUAAAUGAUAAGUAAGUUAAAAGCGAAUGACUGAGAACUUGCAGGAAGACUCAAAUCUCACAGCUUCUUAACUCCACACUCCUGAAAUCUUUCACUCGUUGUUCAGGCCCUUUUGGUUCCCAUCUGAAAACCCAGGCCCCUGAUUCAGCUAAUUGCCCCAGUCCUAUUCCUCAAAACAUCCCAAAGGCAAAAUUAGGAAGCUAACUGGGACUUGGACCUGAGGAAUGGCCUGUUCCUGCGAUGUCAGGAAGGAAAGGUCAGAGGAGGAGAAAUUCCUUUUUCCUCACCAGGAGAAGGACAUGAGUUUCUCACAUCUCAGCAUGGGAUUCUAUGUGCUUAUUGGCUCAAGAUUAUUUUAAAGGUGAAAAGAUCCUCAUUAUGAAGCCAGAGAUUAAAAGGAUAGCCAUCAACCUGCUACUAAAAUAAUUUGAAGAUAAUUCAGGGCCUGGUUUCUCCUCAUUUGGAGUAUAAUCACAUCUCUAGAACAUGGGUUUCCGAUGCUGGAUUUGCACCAGGAGAUGCUCAUUGCAAGGAUUCAAAUUCAGAAGACUGUACCAAAUAUUAGUGAAUUUCUAUGAAAGAGUGGACAGAUUUAUGAGAAAGUGUGGAGCUAUGAGAAGGCCCUCACCGGUGUAAGAGAUCAAAGAAGACAAGGACAGAGAAAAAGUCCUCGGAUUGGACAUGACACAUGAAGAUGUAGUUUUUCAGAGAGUGUUAACAUAUUAGGGGAAAUUCCUCUUCGUGAUAGUUAAAAGCAGAGCCUUCUCUGACUCCCUUCUCACCCUAGUCGGUAUUUAUUGCUCUCACCAUAAUUGCUCUGGAAUGCCCCUACUAUAGCAUGAAUUAUCUUGUUUGGAAGCAUUACGUCUGUUUUCCCUUUCUUCAUCCCACAGCUGUUCAGUCUUGUGUACCACCAGGUAGCUACCAGAAAGGAAUAAAAUCCUUAGUAAGCACAAACCUAGAUGCCACUCAGUUGCUAAACAUUCAUGAUGGCCCUUUUUAGUCUUUAUUUGCACUUUUGGGUUUCCAGAACUGGGUUUACUUUCAUCGAAUCUUUGUUCUGUGCAAUAAAAAUCAAUGUGCUUUAGCAUGGUAAGGCACAGUACAUAGUCUUACCUUCAGAGUUUGAUUUGCAUUUUGUUGGGAUCAUACAAUAAUAAAAGUAUUUUUAUUUAAACUGUUUUUAAUAAAAAUCACACGUGUUUAAUGCAUGCAUAUUGAUGAGUUUGGACAUAUGC
RNAcentral lists this long non-coding RNA (1448 nucleotides) under Equus caballus (horse). RNAcentral's name for it is "lncRNA (ENSECAG00000060243.1)". The record is from RNAcentral. Lineage: Eukaryota; Metazoa; Chordata; Mammalia; Perissodactyla; Equidae.